UUUAAAACUUAUAACGGAUACCUUGGCAUUUAAAAGCGAUGAAGGGCGUGACUACCAACGAAAUAUUUUGAGAAGCUGGAAGUAAGCUAUAAUCCAAAAAUACCCGAAUAAGGCAACUUUUAAUACUAUCUAUAAAAUUAAUAAAUAGAUAAGAGCUAACUUAGCAAACUGAAACAUCUUAGUAGCUAAAGGAAAAAAAAACAAAAGUGAUUCUCUUAGUAGUGGCGAGCGAAAUGGGAAAAGUCUAAACCACUUUAACAAAUUUUAGUGGUGUAGUGGGAUAAUUAUAAAUAAAAAUAAAAAUAAAAAUUAAUGAAUCAAUUGGAAUCUUGUAUUAUAAAAGGUAAAAAUCCUGUAAUUAAUAAUUAAUUAUUUUUAUAAUUAUAUCCCAAGUAGUACAAGACACGUGAAAUCUUGUAUGAAUCAGCGAGGACCACCUCGUAAGACUAAAUAUUCUUAAAUGACCGAUAGUGAACUAGUACCGUGAGGGAAAGGUGAAAAGAACCCCGGAAGGGAAGUGAAAUAGAACAUGAAAUUGUAAGUUUAUAAGCAGUAGAAAAACGACUUAUCGUUUAACUUCGUGCAUGUUGAAGAAUGAGCCGGCGACUUAUAGGUAGUGGCAGGUUAAAAUUAUAUAAAAAUUGGAGCCAUAGUGAAAGCGAGCUUUAAAAAGCAUUAGUCACUAUUUAUAGACCCGAACCCGAAUGAUCUAACCAUGGCCAAGAUGAAACUUAAGUAAUAUUAAUUGGAGGUCUGAACCGACUGAUGUUGCAAAAUCAGCGGAUGAGCUGUGGUUAGGGGUGAAAUGCCAAUCGAAUUCGGAGCUAGCUGGUUCUCCCCGAAAUGCGUUUUGGCGCAGCGGUUGAUGUUAUAACUUUAGGGGUAAAGCACUGUUUUAUUAAAGGCUAUAAAAAUAAUAGUACUAAAAUAAAGCAAACUCUGAAUACUAAGUGUGUAAUCAACCAGUGAGACAGUGAGGGAUAAGCUUCAUUGUCAAAAGGGAAACAGCCCAGACCACCAUUUAAGGCCCUCAAAUAUUUACUAAGUGGCAAAAGAAGUAAAAUUAUUUAUACAACCAGGAAGUUUGCUUAGAAGCAGCAACCUUUUAAAGAGUGCGUAAUAGCUCACUGGUCUAAUAAUUUUGCACUAAAAAUGAAUGGGACUAAGUAAUUUGCCGAAAAUGUGGGAUGUCUUACAUUGGUAGGGGAGCGUUCUGUUAUAGUUUGAAGCACUAAUGAAAAUGGGUGUGGACAAAUCAGAAGUGAGAAUGCCGGCUUGAGUAGCGAAAACAUUGGUGAGAAUCCAAUGCCCCGAAAACCUAAGGUUUCCUUUGGAAGGUUCGUCCGCGAAGGGUAAGUCAAUACCUAAGAUGAGGUUGAAAAACGUAAUCGAUGGAUAACAGGUUAAUAUUCCUGUACUAUUUAUUAUUAUUAUUGAUAUUAAGUGACGAAGAAAGUUAAAUCAUCCGGAUGUUGGUUACCGGUUCAAAUUAGUAAGGUUAAGAAAAAUAAAAAAACAUUCUAAACUGAAUAAUAAAUACAAAAUAUUAUAAUAUUAAAGUGAUUAAAAUUAUACUUCCAAGAAAAGCUUAUUAUAUUUUAAAUAAUAAAUAGUUGUACCUUAAACUGACACAAGUAGGUUAGUAUAGUAUACUAAGGGGCGCGAGAUAACUCUCUUUAAGGAACUCGGCAAAAUAGCCUCGUAACUUCGGAAGAAGAGGUACCUUUUAAAGGUUGCAAUAAAUAAGCUCAAGCGACUGUUUAUCAAAAACACAGGUCUCCGCGAAGUUGUAAAACAAUGUAUGGGGGCUGACGCCUGCCCAGUGCCGGAAGGUUAAAGAAAUUAGUUAGUAACAAAAUUACAAAGCUUAUAACUGAAGCCCCGGUAAACGGCGGCCGUAACUAUAACGGUCCUAAGGUAGCGAAAUUCCUUGUCGGGUAAGUUCCGACCCGCACGAAAGGCGUAACGACUUGAGCACUGUCUCAAAGAGAGACUCGGCGAAAUAGAAUUGUCUGUGAAGAUGCGGACUACCUACACCAGGACAGAAAGACCCUAUGAAGCUUUACUGUAAUUUGUAAUUGAUUCUAAAUUUAUUUUGUGCAGUAUAUGUGGGAGAUUCAAAUAUUAUAUUUAAAAAUAUAAUAAAAAAUCAAUAGUGAGAUACCACUCUAAUUAAACUAAGAUUCUUAUUUUGAUGCCGUUAACCGGCCAAAAAACAUUUUCAAAUAGACAGUUUGACUGGGGCGGUCGCCUCCUAAAAAGUAACGGAGGCGUGCAAAGGUUCUUUCAAACUGGUCAGAAAUCAGUUGUAGAGCAUAAAGGUAUAAAAGAGCUUGACUGUGAGACUUACAAGUCGAGCAGAGACGAAAGUCGGCCUUAGUGAUCCGACAGUACUGAGUGGAAAGGCUGUCGCUUAACGGAUAAAAGUUACUCUAGGGAUAACAGGCUAAUCUCCCCCGAGAGUUCACAUCGACGGGGAGGUUUGGCACCUCGAUGUCGGCUCAUCGCAUCCUGGAGCGGUAGCACGUUCCAAGGGUUGGGCUGUUCGCCCAUAAAAGCGGUACGCGAGCUGGGUUCAGAACGUCGUGAGACAGUUCGGUCCAUAUCCGGUGUAGGCGUUAGAAUAUUGAAAAGAUUUCUCUUCAGUACGAGAGGACCAAGAGACACAUACCUCUAGUGUACCAGUUAUCGUGCCAAUGGUAAACGCUGGGUAGCCAAGUAUGAAUAGGAUAAUCACUGAAAGCAUAUAAGUGAGAAACCUUCUUUAAGAUAAAUAUUCUUAAUCAAGAUCACGGUAAGAUUAACCGUUUAAUAGGCAUUAAGUGUAAUUAUAGUAAUAUAUUUAGCUAAGAUGUACUAAUAGAUCAAAAGCUUGAUAA
Molecule: ribosomal RNA, 2879 nt
Filed under: Choreocolax polysiphoniae
Lineage: Eukaryota; Rhodophyta; Florideophyceae; Gigartinales; Choreocolacaceae
Description: bacterial LSU rRNA
Rfam family: Bacterial large subunit ribosomal RNA
Source: RNAcentral